CUUUAUAAAAAAAAUAACUAGCUUUUUGGUUUUGGCUAUUUUAUAUUGACAGAAUAGCAUAAGGAAUAUAUUGCCAGAAAGAGGAAGAAAAGAUCUCAUGAACCAUCAAGGGGUUUUACUCUUGAAGCAGAUAUCUUGGAAAGUGGGAGAUCUUUCCUUGUGUGUUUUGAAGAGAUUUAGGAAGAGAGUGUCAGCUAAGAAGCAUAAUGACAAAAAAAAAAUUAAUUAUUCGGAUUUGCUAAGGACAAAGAAAGAUUUCUUUCUCAGUCAAUUUACAGUGAGUCAGUCUGCCAGGGCCAAGAAUUAGCACUACGUGAAAAGAAAUCCAAGUGGGUAAUUAACAGCAGUAACAGCAAUAACAGAGAUGGGAGCGCAAAACACCAGAAACAUAAAUGUUCUUCACAUGGUGUCUUUGUUCCGACUGGAUUUAAAAUGAGACCAGUGCACUUUUUCUUCAGAAACUCAAAACGAAUCAUUUACCUUUGUCACAUAACUCACUCCAACCUUACUCUCAAGUCUUAAUCCUAGGCAUGUUGA
RNAcentral lists this long non-coding RNA (537 nucleotides) under Calidris pugnax (ruff). RNAcentral's name for it is "lncRNA (ENSCPUG00000010666.1)". Lineage: Eukaryota; Metazoa; Chordata; Aves; Charadriiformes; Scolopacidae. The record is from RNAcentral.